GUCCUCGUGGAGUAGUAAAGCUCAUUCCAUGCAUUGCCGAAGGUCCAUUGUAAAUGUUCGGAGAGGCCGGUGGUUCGAACCCACCCGAGGACG
This is a non-coding RNA of Mycena capillaripes, 93 nucleotides long. Lineage: Eukaryota; Fungi; Basidiomycota; Agaricomycetes; Agaricales; Mycenaceae. The record is from the annotation of a GenBank genome assembly.